GGGGCUGAUUCUGGAUUCGACGGGAUUUGCGAAACCCAAGGUGCAUGCCGAGGGGCGGUUGGCCUCGUAAAAAGCCGCAAAAAAAUAGUCGCAAACGACGAAACCUACGCUUUAGCAGCUUAAUAACCUGCUUAGAGCCCUCUCUCCCUAGCCUCCGCUCUUAGGACGGGGAUCAAGAGAGGUCAAACCCAAAAGAGAUCGCGCGGAUGCCCUGCCUGGGGUUGAAGCGUUAAAACGAAUCAGGCUAGUCUGGUAGUGGCGUGUCCGUCCGCAGGUGCCAGGCGAAUGUAAAGACAGACUAAGCAUGUAGUACCGAGGAUGUAGGAAUUUCGGACGCGGGUUCAACUCCCGCCAGCUCCACCA
This 363-nucleotide transfer-messenger RNA is filed under the name Salmonella enterica. RNAcentral's name for it is "Standard tmRNA". It matches the Rfam family "transfer-messenger RNA". From Rfam's summary of the family: Bacterial tmRNA, also known as 10Sa RNA or SsrA, is named for its dual tRNA and mRNA-like properties. Its role is to liberate the mRNA from a stalled ribosome. Lineage: Bacteria; Pseudomonadati; Pseudomonadota; Gammaproteobacteria; Enterobacterales; Enterobacteriaceae. RNAcentral also lists the same sequence under 4 other names. The record is from RNAcentral.